RNAcentral lists this long non-coding RNA (506 nucleotides) under Malus domestica (apple). RNAcentral's name for it is "long non-coding RNA (MDOM_LNC020338)". Lineage: Eukaryota; Viridiplantae; Streptophyta; Magnoliopsida; Rosales; Rosaceae. The record is from RNAcentral.
GGUUAGUUUUGGGCCUCAAGGCCCAAUGGGCUUCGAACGUCAAGCCCAUUGACUUAAGUUGUAUGAUAACUUAAUGACUAAUAAUUCACAAAGGCCCAAAUAGCCCAAUAAAACCCUAUGGCCGGCCAUAUAGAUAAGGGAGUGGGUUUUGGACUUAUUACAAGUUUGCCACUCCAAUGAAGGUAGAUAUAAAUAUGACUUUAUAGCUAUUUCUUCAUUAGGGUUUCUUUUGGAGAAAAUAUGAGAACACAAACUCUCUUUUCUCUCUAAGAGGCCGGCCACCCUAGAGGAACAUAGCUAGCAAUCUUACUUCCUUUAGGUCACUCAUUUCUUCAUCAAUCUUUCCUUGGUGUGGAGAUUUAGAGGUUCUCAACUUUGAGAACUUGGAGAAACCAAUUCUUCCAUCCAAAUCCAUGGAGCUAAGAAGCAAGGAAUGAAUGCCCUAUCUCUUGGGUGAUUAUCCUUUGCUUAUGCAAAGAGGAAUCAACAAAGGUAUAAUUUCUCAA